ACAGUUGGAUAUAAGAAGAAAGAGGAAGGAACAUGGGAGGGCACUUUCUCUGAGGCUCUGAGCAAUAUCUCUGGUCCUUUGACUUUCUAGUGCAGGCAAAUUUUACAAGGAUACAACAAUAAACACACAGAUUCCUCGUAUCUUUGUGGUUAUGGAUGCACUUUGCAGGUUAAUUAGCAUCAUCUUGUUGAAGAUUAUUAGUACAUUCUGGUUUUGACUAGCAGCCACUGGUAAAACUGUUAAUAUUGCCCUACGAUUAGCCAUGGUUAAUGGUUUGCUCUG
RNAcentral lists this long non-coding RNA (282 nucleotides) under Brassica napus (rape). Its description in RNAcentral is "long non-coding RNA (BNAP_LNC001376)". Lineage: Eukaryota; Viridiplantae; Streptophyta; Magnoliopsida; Brassicales; Brassicaceae. The record is from RNAcentral.